Molecule: ribosomal RNA, 395 nt
Filed under: uncultured bacterium
Lineage: Bacteria
Description: partial 16S ribosomal RNA
Rfam family: Bacterial small subunit ribosomal RNA
Source: RNAcentral
CCUACGGGUGGCAGCAGUGAGGAAUAUUGGUCAAUGGGCGCAAGCCUGAACCAGCCAAGCCGCGUGAAGGACGACUGCCCUAAGGGUUGUAAACUUCUUUUAUAAAGGAAUAAAGUGAGGCUCGAGAGCCUGUCCGAAGGUACUUUAAGAAUAAGGAUCGGCUAACUCCGUGCCAGCAGCCGCGGUAAUACGGAGGAUUCGAGCGUUAUCCGGAUUUAUUGGGUUUAAAGGGAGCGUAGGCGGGCUGUUAAGUCAGGUGUGAAAGUGCGCGGCUCAACCCUAGAAGUGCAUUUGAUACUGGCUGUCUUGAGAAGAGGAGAGGUAGGCGGAAUGCGUGGUGUAGCGGUGAAAUGCUUAGAUAUCGCGAAGAACUCCGAUUGCGAAGGCAGCUUACU